Molecule: long non-coding RNA, 609 nt
Filed under: Monodelphis domestica (gray short-tailed opossum)
Lineage: Eukaryota; Metazoa; Chordata; Mammalia; Didelphimorphia; Didelphidae
Description: lncRNA (ENSMODG00000037628.1)
Source: RNAcentral
GAAAAGAGGAUGUGGAACCUCUACUUCAGAUAAAGAGGAGGAAGGAUGUCACUGGAAACUAUAAAGUACAUUUCAUCGACCCCACUCCUGCCAUAUUUACUCUUAACUCUUUGCUUCAGUUCUAGUCCAUCUCACUUUACCCACAACCUUCUGGUCUCUUUCCCCCAUAGCUUUUGCUUUCCCAUGGAAGUCCUUUGAACCCAAAAGCUGAAGGAGCUUGUAGAAAUCUAAGUAAUGCAUGCUGACCUGUGGGUAGAUACCUCUGGCCCAAUAUCUCCAUGGUAGCAAUUCUAAGGAAUAGUUGUCUGAGUUGUCAUGAAGCCAGAAGUAGAAAAUAGCAUAUGCUACAGUCUGAGAAUUUCAGAUGGACACCUGUCCUUGGGAAAAGUUGAGGGAAAGAUGUUGGUGUGGCCCAAGGUCCUAAAGCAUGGAACAUUGGAUUGGCACUUCACACUUUGUGGGAUUCUGAGAAGCAAUUUCUUGCAUGACCAGGUGAUUAUUCAUUUGGAAAGGCAUUUGACUCCAAAUGAAAGAAUUGAAAUGGUCUCAGUUAAGAUUUCACCUGCAAGAAGUCACUCCUGGUCUGUGGCUGUCUUUCCAUUGAGAUGA